AUUGGAGGGCAAGUCUGGUGCCAGCAGCCGCGGUAAUUCCAGCUCCAAUAGCGUAUAUUAAAGUUGUUGCGGUUAAAAAGCUCGUAGUUUGAGUUGAGUUGCGGACUGGUGUGGGAGGUCACCGCCCGGUGCUUGCCCGCCAGGUUCCGAACAGCUUCCGUGAGUGGAAGCCAAGCCGGUUCUGCCGGGGUGCUCUUUACCGAGUGUCCCGUGCGGCCGGCCAGUUGACCUUGAAUAAAUGAGAGUGCUCAAAGCAGGCUACUCUGGAAUACAAUGCCCGAAUGUUAGCUGCAUGGAAUGAUGGAAGAUGAUCUCGGUUGCAUUUUGUUGGUGGUGGCAGCCAGAGGUAAUGAUAAAGAGGGACUGUCGGGGGCAUCCGUACUACGACGCGAGAGGUGAAAUUCAGUGACCGUCGUAGGACGAACAACAGCGAAAGCAUUUGCCAAGAAUGUCUUCGUUGAUCAAGAACGAAAGUUAGAGGAUCGAAGGCGAUCAGAUACCGCCCUAGUUCUAACCCUAAACGAUGCUGACUAGCAAUUCGCCGUCGUUAUUCCCAUGACGUGGCGAGACGCCCCCGGGAAACCUCAAGUCUUUGAGUUCCGGGGGUAGUAUGGUUGCAAAAGUGAAACUUAAAGGAAUUGACGGAAGGGCACCACCAGGAGUGGAGCCUGCGGCUUAAUUUGACUCAACACGGGGAAGCUGACCAGGCCCGGACACCAGAAGGAUUGACAGAUUAAGAGCUCUUUCUCGAUUU
This 754-nucleotide ribosomal RNA is filed under the name Macrobrachium sp. SKE. Its description in RNAcentral is "bacterial SSU rRNA". It matches the Rfam family "Eukaryotic small subunit ribosomal RNA", at positions 547 to 1268 of the family's 1831-position model. Lineage: Eukaryota; Metazoa; Arthropoda; Malacostraca; Decapoda; Palaemonidae. The record is from RNAcentral.